UCCCCCAGGUCUUGGCCCGAUGCUGGACAAUUCAGUUCCUCCCCAUUUGUCUCUGGUGCCUUUCAAGCUGCUGCCCCAGCACUGGAGCUCAGGACUGAAUCUGACUGUCGGCAGAGGAUCCAAUAGAAGAUACCAGGACCGGCAAGAAGAUACGUGCCUAAGUCUGUAAAUGCAGAGUCUCCACCGCACCCCAUCCACCAACACCGACACUGCUGUGAGCACGAUACACUUCUAUGCAAAGCCACUGAAAUCUGCCAGUUGUUUCUUCUAGCAACUUCCCUCUCUGAUACAGCUGGGGAAACAGAGGCAGAGGAAGGAAUCAGUGGCCAGAGUGGAGGCACCAGGAGGCAAAACAAGAGCCAGCGCUGCACUUGGUCACAUGGCCCCACCUCUCCCCACUGGCCUGGCUUGCCCACUGUUUAGUUGGCCUCUAAAGUGUCCUUAUUACAGCAUCAAUUCUAGGACCAUAAUGGGGGUGGAAAGCUACCACUUGGCCUGAGAAGUUUAGUCUGAAUUCUGGGAAAGAGGCAGCCUGGCUCCUUAACCGUAAAUAGGUCAUUA
This is a long non-coding RNA of Myotis brandtii (Brandt's bat), 561 nucleotides long. RefSeq lists it as uncharacterized. Lineage: Eukaryota; Metazoa; Chordata; Mammalia; Chiroptera; Vespertilionidae. The transcript is spliced from 3 exons. The record is from RefSeq and is a predicted model, not a curated record.